RNAcentral lists this long non-coding RNA (3207 nucleotides) under Sinocyclocheilus anshuiensis. Its description in RNAcentral is "lncRNA (ENSSANG00000042963.1)". Lineage: Eukaryota; Metazoa; Chordata; Actinopteri; Cypriniformes; Cyprinidae. The record is from RNAcentral.
CAUAAUAAUCAUGAUAAUGAUAAUAAUAAUAAUAAUAAUAUAUAAUUUUCCUCAACCAGAAAAAUGCCACCUGGGAUGGUGAACACCCGCGAGUUUAACAAGGAGAACUUCAAAUCCUGUGGGCUCCAGUUAAUUUUUCAUGUAAUGAAAGAAUUUAAAAAAGAGCAAAACAAACUAAGAACUCAUGUGAACGAGAUUCUCCACAGCAUCUUCUUUUUAGGGAUCAUUCAUAAGGACAGUCUCACUCCCGAAGACAUUAUACCUGAAAAGAUUGCUGAGAUUACAAGACAGGAAUUUCCAGAACCAUUUAAGAAAUACAAGAGUCAUCUACCUAAGCGGACACCUUUCUCAAUACUGUUAGACAUAAUGCAGCUUACAUAUGGCACAAAAGACAAAGUACUGAAGGAGCUUUGCAUUCUCAUGGAAAAGCUGAAAUUCCCUUAUCCUCUGGACAAACCAGCAAACAAAAACCAGCGCUACUACACACUGGAGUCCACCGUCAUUUGUGUGUGCUCUAAUAGCCAACGCACAUCAGAUGAAUAUUUUGGUGCUUCUCUGGGUUGCAGGACAAGAGGGGCCAAAAGCAUUAUGAUAUAUUCAUCAUGUAUAAAUACAUGGCACGAGCAUGUGUCAUAUGCAGUAAUGUCAUUCGAACAUCAGCCAGAAGGUGACAGCUUGCAAUUUCAUGAGUCUCUGCGAUGCCAGGCAUACUUCAGGGAUUGGAAAGACAACACUUACAAGGAAAGACAGCCAUGUAUGAACUGUAAACGGCUUUUCAGUCUGUCAGCAGGUACAGAACAGGAACAUUAUCCUUAUGGCAAUUGUGCAGAGACAGAGUGCUUGAGCAAACUCCUGCUUAAUGAUCAGUUCAUGCGAGAGAAUAUCAAAAUCAGUCAUUUUACUCCUGACAAAAUUAAAAUGUUAAAAGACUGUACCAGGGAACGCUUGCGAAAACUGCUUGCUUCAAUACCUUCUCUCAGCAAUAUGAAUAACGAUGACCUUCCAUGUUUUUAACCUGCUCUCUUAAAUAUUGUCACCAGCUAGAGCAAAAAGGGUUUCACAGACUGAUUCCAUCUUUUCCACAAAUAACUUUUUAUUGUCUAGCUCUAAAGCCCUAUAUAACCAACUCAAGUCCCACAUAGUGAAAAAGAUUUGUAUGUGGAUUCGUUGCUGAUCCUCUACCUACAAAAACUUUUUUGGUCACACUUUACAAUAAGGUCUCAUUUGUUACCAUUAGUUAAACCAGUGCUCAAAGUGGGCCGGUGUUUCGGUGAAUUCAAUUCCCCCGUUUCCCCUUCGGCGCGCAUGUGUGAAAUCACGACAUCAUGAUAUCAAGAGCAGCGGAAAAUGUGUGCUUUAUUAUCUCAAGCAUCAGUUUAUUGUGUUAUUUCCUACUUUCCAUCAACAUAAGGUAUAUUUCAUGUUGUUUUUCAAAUACAUAAGUAAAAUUCUAAAGCAUAGAAUGUAUUGUUUGCAGAGGUUUUAUAGCUCAGUCGUUCAUGGGUUACUGCUAGCUUUACCUUUGAGAAACUCUGUAUAACAGCUAAUGUGUUAAGUUUAAUAAAUGAAUUUCGGCGAUCGUUUACAUUAUUAUAUUAUUGUUAUAUUGUUGUUGUUGGUGUGUGUUGGUUUUGUCACACUUAUGUUUUCCAUAAAUAAACCAUAUUGCACUGCACAAUACUGUGCUGUUGUUGUUAUUAUUAUUAUUAUAAAUAAUGCGGCGAAGGGGAAACGGGAACUGAAUUCACCGGAAAAACUAGAUCGGGGCGUUACCUGAUUGGCUGACGUCAUAGUGACGGUAGGUUUAGGGGCGGGGUUAGGUAAGGUUGAUCAUUUCAUUGCAUCGUUUAGAAACACCCAUCAGUUUGAAAACACCCACAACGUCAGAAACACACACUUUUGCUCUGCAGAGACCUCGUGUUGCCAGACGUACAAUAAUUAUCGUAUCUGUAUGAUAAUUUUGACCUCUGUAUGAUGUACGAUCAAUAAUGAAAAAAAUCCCAUAAUGUACGAUAAUUUCAGAAUUUCUGAACUAGUUUUUUCCAAAGUCAACCUCAUCAAAACAAAGCCACAAAAUCGGCUCAUUACAGACACUCUGAAUGGGUUUAAACCGGUAAACUCCUGGAAAGUCCAAGGAUUCAAACAGUAACCGAAUGAAUUCAGACAGUAAUAAGUUCAAAACAGUGCUAAUGCAGAGAAAACACGGCUGAUUUCAUCAGAGAUGGCGGAGAGAAUAGUGACUUACGUCCAGAUGGCACUAAAUUAUUCUUUACAGCAUGUAUUUGGCUUAAAAGCUAGAGUGUUUUGUACUGGAUGCUGGCUGAAGGUGUUUUAUAUUGUGUGGUGGUCAGAGGUUUAGUGAUUUUUAAUGAUUUUUUAAAAAAGUGCAUGAUUAAUAAAGGUAUGUAUAAGUUUUGUUAUUUCAAAACAUCACAUGGACUUGAAUGUUGCCAUUGUAUCUAAAACAGUGCAAUAUAUCACUGUAUCAUUUAGUUAUAAUCAUCUACUGUGAGUGAACAAGUUUCACUGGUAGAGCAAGGUUCAGUCAGAAUUCCCACCUUCCUCAUUGAUUACAUGAAUACACGGAACACAUUUUAUAACCCCAUAUUCAUACAGUUCAAACAUGUUAUAACUGGUUUGGUACAUGGUGUGCAUUUUGAUCUUGACACAGAGCACAGCACAAGACACACCUUGUUUUAUGGCUUAACCUGAAUGUCUUCCCAUGUCUUUUCCACUCAUGCAAUGAUCACUGGAUAUUCUAAGCUGUUCAUUGCAAUUGUUGAAAUAAAUAAUGUUAUUGUAUAAAGUUUUUUUUUUCCCCCUGUAUUUUAUAGUAGAGAAUUAAUAGGAAAGUUGAGGGAGGGAAUGAGAUCAGUGCAUGACUAACAUCCUUCGAGUCAAUCUGCAUCACCCACUGCAUUAAAAAUAUCAAGACACGACAAGCCCAAAUAAAAUUUUGACAACUUGUCCAAUCUUGUAGUUUAUGAAAAACGCCUUGCCCUGAGAAGCCAGUUUAACCUUUCUAUUAAAAUAUAUGUCAAUUACAUAUCCAUCUGAAUGUACGCUAUAGUGUGGUUUUAUUGUGUCCACAAGUUUAUCCAACAGCAUCAUAUGGAAUUUUAAUUUGGAGGAUAGAAUUCAUAGAAAGAAAAAAAAAAGUACUACAGUCACUACAAUAGACCCAAUAAUAUGCCUGUAGCCUUUCCC